RNAcentral lists this ribosomal RNA (497 nucleotides) under uncultured bacterium. RNAcentral's name for it is "partial 16S ribosomal RNA". It matches the Rfam family "Bacterial small subunit ribosomal RNA", at positions 28 to 507 of the family's 1533-position model. The record is from RNAcentral.
GAUGAACGCUGGCGGCGUGCCUAAUACAUGCAAGUCGAGCGAACAGACGAGGAACUUGCUCCUCUGACGUUAGCGGCGGACGGGUGAGUAACACGUGGAUAACCUACCUAUAAGACUGGGAUAACUUCGGGAAACCGGAGCUAAUACCGGAUAAUAUAUUGAACCGCAUGGUUCAAUAGUGAAAGACGGUUUUGCCGUCACUUAUAGAUGGAUCCGCGCCGCAUUAGCUAGUUGGUAAGGUAACGGCUUACCAAGGCGACGAUGCGUAGCCGACCUGAGAGGGUGAUCGGCCACACUGGAACUGAGACACGGUCCAGACUCCUACGGGAGGCAGCAGUAGGGAAUCUUCCGCAAUGGGCGAAAGCCUGACGGAGCAACGCCGCGUGAGUGAUGAAGGUCUUCGGAUCGUAAAACUCUGUUAUUAGGGAAGAACAAAUGUGUAAGUAACUAUGCACGUCUUGACGGUACCUAAUCAGAAAGCCACGGCUAACUACGUG